UAGGUUUAUUAUGAUUAAAAGGGAAAUUGGUAAAAGCCAAUACAGCCCCCGCUACUGUAAGUGGUACGAAAUCAACGAUAUACCACCUCUUGGGAAGGUGUUGAGAGUAGGAUAAACCACAAGUCAGGAGACCUGCCUAUAACUUUU
This 147-nucleotide non-coding RNA is filed under the name Anaerosalibacter massiliensis. The record is from RNAcentral. Lineage: Bacteria; Bacillati; Bacillota; Tissierellia; Tissierellales; Sporanaerobacteraceae.